This 21-nucleotide non-coding RNA is filed under the name Caenorhabditis elegans. Lineage: Eukaryota; Metazoa; Nematoda; Chromadorea; Rhabditida; Rhabditidae. The record is from RNAcentral.
UAACUUAUGUUCAUUGACAGC